Molecule: non-coding RNA, 408 nt
Organism: Cajanus cajan (pigeon pea)
Lineage: Eukaryota; Viridiplantae; Streptophyta; Magnoliopsida; Fabales; Fabaceae
Source: RefSeq, a predicted model, not a curated record
AUUAACCCGCGCGUUCCCUCUCAAUUCAUCAGCGCCCUUCAAUCUCCCACCACAACCCUCGAGUUCUCGGUUCUCUCCGCUCGCAAGCUAUCAGCGUCUCGUGCAGCCCGUGUUCUCUCUCAAUUUUCACCAUAUCCUCUCGUGCGCAAACCCCACCGUUAAGUUCCACAAACUCGCUCUCCCUGCCAAGUGUGAGUUCUCACUAAAGCGUUGGUGGUCAGAGGUGAUCAGAGAUGGGGCUGAAGAAACACCUUUGAGAACAGGACAGAACGGAACGGCACAGAACGUAAAGAAACGAAACAGGACGGAACUGAGCGGAACGAGAUGAGAGGUGUUUUCAUCGCUGUAAAAUUUUUUUUACCUUUUCAUAAUAAAAUGCAAGGGUCAAUUAUUGGUCGUUUUUAUUAA